This 292-nucleotide ribosomal RNA is filed under the name uncultured bacterium. RNAcentral describes it as "partial 16S ribosomal RNA". The record is from RNAcentral. RNAcentral also lists the same sequence under 1 other name.
GGACUACUAGGGUAUCUAAUCCUGUUUGCUACCCAUGCUUUCGUGCCUCAGUGUCAGUCUUUGUCCAGAAAGUCGCCUUCGCCACCGAUGUUCCUUCCGAUAUCUACGCAUUUCACCGCUACACCGGAAAUUCCACUUUCCUCUACAAAACUCUAGCUUCACAGUAUCAGGCGCAAUCCCCAGGUUAAGCCCGGGACUUUCACACCUAACUUAUGUAACCACCUGCGCACCCUUUACGCCCAGUAAUUCCGAUUAACGCUUACACCCUCUGUAUUACCGCGGCGGCUGGCAC